RNAcentral lists this ribosomal RNA (393 nucleotides) under uncultured bacterium. RNAcentral describes it as "bacterial SSU rRNA". It matches the Rfam family "Bacterial small subunit ribosomal RNA", at positions 32 to 415 of the family's 1533-position model. The record is from RNAcentral.
AAUCAACGCUGGCGGCGUGCCUCAGACAUGCAAGUCGAACGAUUAAACUUUCCUUCGGGAAAGAUAUAAAGUGGCGUACGGGUGAGUAACACGUAAGUAAUCUACCUUCGAGUGGGGAAUAACGUUCGGAAACGAACGACUAAUACCGCAUAAUGCAGCGGCAUCAUAUGAUGACAGUUGUUAAAGCAUUUAUGCGCUUGAAGAGGAGCUUGCGGCAGAUUAGCUAGNGGUAAGGUAAUGGCUUACCAAGGCAACGAUCUGUAUCCGGUCUAAGAGGACGGUCGGACACACUGACACUGAAUAACGGGUCAGACUCCUACGGGAGGCAGCAGUCGGGAAUUUUGGGCAAUGGGCGAAAGCCUGACCCAGCAACGCCGCGUGAAGGAUGAAGUC